UUACAUUCUCCCAGCAGACCUUCUCACCCUGAAUAUUGAUUACCCUCCUGCUCAACCCUCCCAACUGCACAAUGCUGGGGACAUAGAAAGUGAUGGAUUGAUUGAUCUGUAUCCUCUGGAAAUACUGGCUCCUUGCUACAGAACUUAUACAGGAAAGAGGCUUAUCAACCAAGCAGCAAUCUCCUUCCUCAAAAAGUAGAUGGGAUUCAGAAUGGCAGAUGGCCUGAAGACAAUAUCUCCACUAUACACUAUAGCUGAGACAAAUAGAAAGAGGUGGCUGAAAAAGCCAUAGGCCUUCUCUGAAGGGGAGAGAUUGACUAAGAACCUCCUUAACCUAGUGUCUGUGAAUUUGAUUUUUAUAAUUUUUUUGAUAAUCAUAUCUCAAU
This 386-nucleotide long non-coding RNA is filed under the name Sarcophilus harrisii (Tasmanian devil). RNAcentral describes it as "lncRNA (ENSSHAG00000025159.1)". Lineage: Eukaryota; Metazoa; Chordata; Mammalia; Dasyuromorphia; Dasyuridae. The record is from RNAcentral.